RNAcentral lists this unclassified non-coding RNA (338 nucleotides) under soil metagenome. RNAcentral's name for it is "partial contains 5.8S ribosomal RNA, internal transcribed spacer 2, and large subunit ribosomal RNA". The stretch from base 1 to 120 matches the Rfam family "5.8S ribosomal RNA", at positions 35 to 154 of the family's 154-position model. The record is from RNAcentral.
GAUGAAGAACGCAGCGAAAUGCGAUACGUAGUGUGAAUUGCAGAAUUCAGUGAAUCAUCGAAUCUUUGAACGCACAUUGCGCCCUUUGGUAUUCCAAAGGGCAUGCCUGUUCGAGCGUCAUUUGUACCCUCAAGCUUUGCUUGGUGUUGGGCGUCUUGUCUCCAGUCCGCUGGAGACUCGCCUUAAAGUCAUUGGCAGCCGGCCUACUGGUUUCGGAGCGCAGCACAAGUCGCACUCUUUUCCAGCCAAGGUCAGUGUCCAACAAGCCUUUUUUCAACUUUUGACCUCGGAUCAGGUAGGGAUACCCGCUGAAUUUAAGCAUAUCAAUAAGCGGAGGA